RNAcentral lists this ribosomal RNA (487 nucleotides) under uncultured bacterium. RNAcentral describes it as "bacterial SSU rRNA". It matches the Rfam family "Bacterial small subunit ribosomal RNA", at positions 30 to 507 of the family's 1533-position model. The record is from RNAcentral.
AUUGAACGCUGGCGGCAUGCCUUACACAUGCAAGUCGAACGGCAGCACGGGUGCUUGCACCUGGUGGCGAGUGGCGAACGGGUGAGUAAAGUAUCGGAACGUGCCUGGUAGUGGGGGAUAACUAGUCGAAAGACUAGCUAAUACCGCAUACGAUCUAAGGAUGAAAGCAGGGGACCUUCGGGCCUUGUGCUAUCAGAGCGGCCGAUAUCUGAUUAGCUAGUUGGUGGGGUAAAGCCCACCAAGGCGACGAUCAGUAGCUGGUCUGAGAGGACGACCAGCCACACUGGAACUGAGACACGGUCCAGACUCCUACGGGAGGCAAGCAGUGGGGAAUUUUGGACAAUGGGGGCGAACCCUGAUCCAGCAAUGCCGCGUGAGUGAAGAAGGCCCUCGGGUUGUAAAGCUCUUUUGUCAGGGAAGAAAAGGCUGUGGCUAAUAUCCACAGCUGCUGACGGUACCUGAAGAAUAAGCACCGGCUAACUACGUG